UACGUAGGGGCCUAGCGUUGUCCGGAUUCAUUGGGCGUAAAGGGUGCGUAGGCGGCGCGGUAAGUCGGGUGUGAAAUCUUGGAGCUUAACUCCGAAACUGCAUUCGAUACUGCCGUGCUUGAGGACUGGAGAGGAGACUGGAAUUUACGGUGUAGCGGUGAAAUGCGUAGAUAUCGUAAGGAAGACCAGUGGCGAAGGCGGGUCUCUGGACAGUUCCUGACGCUGAGGCACGAAGGCCAGGGGAGCAAACGGG
Molecule: ribosomal RNA, 253 nt
Filed under: uncultured bacterium
Lineage: Bacteria
Description: partial 16S ribosomal RNA
Rfam family: Bacterial small subunit ribosomal RNA
Source: RNAcentral